RNAcentral lists this long non-coding RNA (216 nucleotides) under Mytilus galloprovincialis (Mediterranean mussel). The record is from RNAcentral. Lineage: Eukaryota; Metazoa; Mollusca; Bivalvia; Mytilida; Mytilidae.
GGGGAAAAAAUGUACAUUGAUACUUGGGAAUUGAUGUACUAAUAUUGUGAUCACCUGUUUCUGAAGUGUGUGAGUAUUGCAUAUGAAUGUUGAGUCUGUAGAUGUUGUUUUAAACAUUGAUAAUUCCAGUUCAGGACUGUAUCACUUUAUAACACUGGAUGUUGACCUUGACAAUACAGAGAAGCUGCAUGCUAAAACCUAUUAUGCAACCCCGAC